Molecule: ribosomal RNA, 1362 nt
Filed under: uncultured bacterium
Lineage: Bacteria
Description: bacterial SSU rRNA
Rfam family: Bacterial small subunit ribosomal RNA
Source: RNAcentral
GAAUGAACGCCUAGCUACAGGCUUAACACAUGCAAGUCGAGGGGCAGCAUGGUCUUAGCUUGCUAAGGCCGAUGGCGACCGGCGCACGGGUGAGUAACACGUAUCCAACCUGCCGUCUACUCUUGGACAGCCUUCUGAAAGGAAGAUUAAUACAAGAUGGCAUCAUGAGUCCGCAUGUUCACAUGAUUAAAGGUAUUCCGGUAGACGAUGGGGAUGCGUUCCAUUAGAUAGUAGGCGGGGUAACGGCCCACCUAGUCUUCGAUGGAUAGGGGUUCUGAGAGGAAGGUCCCCCACAUUGGAACUGAGACACGGUCCAAACUCCUACGGGAGGCAGCAGUGAGGAAUAUUGGUCAAUGGGCGAGAGCCUGAACCAGCCAAGUAGCGUGAAGGAUGACUGCCCUAUGGGUUGUAAACUUCUUUUAUAAAGGAAUAAAGUCGGGUAUGGAUACCCGUUUGCAUGUACUUUAUGAAUAAGGAUCGGCUAACUCCGUGCCAGCAGCCGCGGUAAUACGGAGGAUCCGAGCGUUAUCCGGAUUUAUUGGGUUUAAAGGGAGCGUAGAUGGAUGUUUAAGUCAGUUGUGAAAGUUUGCGGCUCAACCGUAAAAUUGCAGUUGAUACUGGAUAUCUUGAGUGCAGUUGAGGCAGGCGGAAUUCGUGGUGUAGCGGUGAAAUGCUUAGAUAUCACGAAGAACUCCGAUUGCGAAGGCAGCCUGCUAAGCUGCAACUGACAUUGAGGCUCGAAAGUGUGGGUAUCAAACAGGAUUAGAUACCCUGGUAGUCCACACGGUAAACGAUGAAUACUCGCUGUUUGCGAUAUACUGCAAGCGGCCAAGCGAAAGCGUUAAGUAUUCCACCUGGGGAGUACGCCGGCAACGGUGAAACUCAAAGGAAUUGACGGGGGCCCGCACAAGCGGAGGAACAUGUGGUUUAAUUCGAUGAUACGCGAGGAACCUUACCCGGGCUUAAAUUGCAGAUGAAUUACGGUGAAAGCCGUAAGCCGCAAGGCAUCUGUGAAGGUGCUGCAUGGUUGUCGUCAGCUCGUGCCGUGAGGUGUCGGCUUAAGUGCCAUAACGAGCGCAACCCUUGUUGUCAGUUACUAACAGGUUCCGCUGAGGACUCUGACAAGACUGCCAUCGUAAGAUGUGAGGAAGGUGGGGAUGACGUCAAAUCAGCACGGCCCUUACGUCCGGGGCUACACACGUGUUACAAUGGGGGGUACAGAGGGCCGCUACCACGCGAGUGGAUGCCAAUCCCCAAAACCUCUCUCAGUUCGGACUGGAGUCUGCAGCCCGACUCCACGAAGCUGGAUUCGCUAGUAAUCGCGCUUCAGCCACGGCGCGGUAAAUACGUUUCCCGGGCCCU